This 279-nucleotide unclassified non-coding RNA is filed under the name plant metagenome. RNAcentral's name for it is "partial contains small subunit ribosomal RNA, internal transcribed spacer 1, and 5.8S ribosomal RNA". The record is from RNAcentral.
UUUCCGUAGGUGAACCUGCGGAAGGAUCAUUCAUAAUAAGUGUUUUAUGGCACUUUUUUUAAUCCAUAUCCACCUUGUGUGCAAUGUCAGGGUUGUUUUUUCUCUCGAGAGGAUCAACCUCAAACAUCAACUCUAUCUCAACUCUUUGUCUGAUAAAUAUUAUGAAUAAAACAAUUCAAAACACAACUUUCAACAACGGAUCCCUUGGCUCUCGCAUCGAUGCAGAACGCUGCAGAUCGGAAGAGAAACCGUCUGUACUCCACCCACCAUUCGUCAUCU